RNAcentral lists this ribosomal RNA (494 nucleotides) under uncultured bacterium. RNAcentral describes it as "partial 16S ribosomal RNA". It matches the Rfam family "Bacterial small subunit ribosomal RNA", at positions 28 to 507 of the family's 1533-position model. The record is from RNAcentral.
GACGAACGCUGGCGGCGUGCUUAACACAUGCCAGUCGAACGGAAAGGCCUGCUUUCCCUUAUGGAUUGCGGGUACUCGAGUGGCGAACGGGUGAGUAACACGUGAGUGAUCUGCCCCCAACUUGGGUAUAAGCCUGGGAAACUGGGUCUAAUUCCCGAUAGGACUGCAGGGUGGUGCCUGUGGUGGAAAACGAUUUUCUAGUGGUUGGGGAUGAGCUCGCGGCCUAUCAGCUUGUUGGUGGGGUAAUGGCCUACCAAGGCGGCGACGGGUAGCCGGCCUGAGAGGGUGGACGGCCACAUUGGGACUGAGAUACGGCCCAGACUCCUACGGGAGGCAGCAGUGGGGAAUAUUGCACAAUGGGCGGAAGCCUGAUGCAGCGACGCCGCGUGGGGGAUGACGGCCUUCGGGUGGUAAACUCCUUUCGACCGCGAGGAAGCCACCUGGUUGGAAGGGUGGUGACGGUAGUGGUAGAAGAAGCACCGGCUAACUACGUG